UACAAUCAUAAAGGGCCCAUUAUCAGG
This 27-nucleotide non-coding RNA is filed under the name Rattus norvegicus (Norway rat). Lineage: Eukaryota; Metazoa; Chordata; Mammalia; Rodentia; Muridae. The record is from RNAcentral.